RNAcentral lists this unclassified non-coding RNA (643 nucleotides) under Trichosporon asahii. The record is from RNAcentral. Lineage: Eukaryota; Fungi; Basidiomycota; Tremellomycetes; Trichosporonales; Trichosporonaceae.
AUCCUUUGCAGACGACUUGAAUAGAACGGAGUGCUGUAAGCAGUAGAGUAGCCUUGUUGCUACGAUCUGCUGAGGCUCAGCUUUUGUUCUACAGAUUUGUCCUUUUGGACUCUCUAUGAUUGGCAUGGACUGGGGGGCGACCUCAGCAUCUUAAUCAUAGACAGUUUAACAAGUACAAGUAGUGAGAGGAGUAGAGUGAAUCAAGAACGAAGUAUAAGGGAUCAAAAAUGAGAGCCAGACUUGGUGUUGCCAAGUUCUCGACUGAUGGCCUUGGUUGAGAUUCUCAAAGCUACAAGUUGGAAGGAUGGACUGGGGGAGACAAGAGGUCUCUGGCAGGGCGGUUGAGGACUAGACCAGGCCCCUUUGGACAGGAGCAAGGCCUCAGAGGUAGGCGGACGGUGCUUUCAGAGGCUGAGGUCUUGAUGUGAAGUCAGAGUUGGGAGCUGGCAGGCUUGGGUCUGUACCAGUGAGCAUACUAGGAGCUGCAAAGACCAAGUAUGAGUGCUGGUGAGCCCAAGUCUGCCUGCUCUCGUGUGUGUCCUUCCAAGAGCGACAGGCUUAUAGGGGCUGUUCUGACAUACUGUCAUCUACGGCCAUAGGAUCCAGAAAAUACCGCAUCCCGUCCGAUCUGCGAAGUCAAGCU